AAAGGAAUAGACGGGGGCCCGCACAAGCAGUGGAGCAUGUGGUUUAAUUCGAAGCAACGCGAAGAACCUUACCAGAACUUGACAUCCAGCGAAUUUUCUAGAGAUAGAGGAGUGCCUUCGGGAGCGCUGAGACAGGUGGUGCAUGGUUGUCGUCAGCUCGUGUCGUGAGAUGUUGGGUUAAGUCCCGCAACGAGCGCAACCCCUAUUGUUAGUUGCCAGCAUGUAAAGAUGGGCACUCUAGCGAGACUGCCGGUGAUAAAUCGGAGGAAGGUGGGGAUGACGUCAAAUCAUCAUGCCCCUUAUGUUCUGGGCUACACACGUGCUACAAUGGCUGUUUACAACGGGAAGCGAAGGAGCGAUCCGGAGCGAAUCCUCAAAAACAGUCCCAGUUCAGAUUGCAGGCUGCAACUCGCCUGCAUGAAGGUGGAAUUGCUAGUAAUCGCGGAUCAGAACGCCGCGGUGAAUACGUUCCCGGGCCUUGUACACACCGCCCGU
RNAcentral lists this ribosomal RNA (495 nucleotides) under uncultured bacterium. RNAcentral's name for it is "bacterial SSU rRNA". It matches the Rfam family "Bacterial small subunit ribosomal RNA", at positions 903 to 1397 of the family's 1533-position model. The record is from RNAcentral.